This 751-nucleotide ribosomal RNA is filed under the name Salmonella enterica subsp. enterica serovar Infantis. Its description in RNAcentral is "partial 23S ribosomal RNA". It matches the Rfam family "Bacterial large subunit ribosomal RNA", at positions 711 to 1377 of the family's 2925-position model. The record is from RNAcentral. Lineage: Bacteria; Pseudomonadati; Pseudomonadota; Gammaproteobacteria; Enterobacterales; Enterobacteriaceae.
AGACCCGAAACCCGGUGAUCUAGCCAUGGGCAGGUUGAAGGUUGGGUAACACUAACUGGAGGACCGAACCGACUAAUGUUGAAAAAUUAGCGGAUGACCUGUGGCUGGGGGUGAAAGGCCAAUCAAACCGGGAGAUAGCUGGUUCUCCCCGAAAGCUAUUUAGGUAGCGCCUCGUGAAUUCAUCUCCGGGGGUAGAGCACUGUUUCGGCUAGGGGGCCAUCCCGGCUUACCAACCCGAUGCAAACUGCGAAUACCGGAGAAUGUUAUCACGGGAGACACACGGCGGGUGCUAACGUCCGUCGUGAAGAGGGAAACAACCCAGACCGCCAGCUAAGGUCCCAAAGUCAUGGUUAAGUGGGAAACGAUGUGGGAAGGCCCAGACAGCCAGGAUGUUGGCUUAGAAGCAGCCAUCAUUUAAAGAAAGCGUAAUAGCUCACUGGUCGAGUCGGCCUGCGCGGAAGAUGUAACGGGGCUAAACCAUGCACCGAAGCUGCGGCAGCGAACGUAUCACUUAAAGCGAUUCAGCGGGUUACGAUUGACGGAGCGAAGCGACGUCAAAGCGUAUACAAAGUCGAGUCGGUUUAAGGAUACGUUCGUUGGGUAGGGGAGCGUUCUGUAAGCCUGCGAAGGUGGCCUGUGAGGGUUGCUGGAGGUAUCAGAAGUGCGAAUGCUGACAUAAGUAACGAUAAAGCGGGUGAAAAGCCCGCUCGCCGGAAGACCAAGGGUUCCUGUCCAACGUUAAUCGGGGCAG